Non-coding RNA from Caenorhabditis brenneri, 72 nucleotides. NCBI's taxonomy places the organism in Eukaryota, Metazoa, Nematoda, Chromadorea, Rhabditida, Rhabditidae. The record is from the annotation of a GenBank genome assembly.
GCUCUCGUGGCGCAGUGGCUAGCGCGCUCGUUAUAAAAAUUUUCAACGCGGGUUCAAUUCCAUCUGGUGGCA